GAUGAAGAACGUAGCGAAAUGCGAUAACUAAUGUGAAUUGCAGAAUUCAGUGAAUCAUCGAGUCUUUGAACGCACAUUGCGCCCCCUGGUAUUCCGGGGGGCAUGCCUGUCCGAGCGUCAUUGCUGCCCUCAAGCACGGCUUGUGUGUUGGGCCUCCGCCCCCCGGCUCCCGGGGGGCGGGCCCGAAAGGCAGCGGCGGCACCGCGUCCGGUCCUCGAGCGUAUGGGGCUUCGUCACCCGCUCCGUAGGCCCGGCCGGCGCCCGCCGGCGACCCCCCUCAAUCUUUCCAGGUUGACCUCGGAUCAGGUAGGGAUACCCGCUGAACUUAAGCAUAUCAAUAAGCGGAGGA
Molecule: unclassified non-coding RNA, 349 nt
Filed under: soil metagenome
Description: partial contains 5.8S ribosomal RNA, internal transcribed spacer 2, and large subunit ribosomal RNA
Rfam family: 5.8S ribosomal RNA (bases 1-120)
Source: RNAcentral